Molecule: ribosomal RNA, 253 nt
Filed under: uncultured bacterium
Lineage: Bacteria
Description: partial 16S ribosomal RNA
Rfam family: Bacterial small subunit ribosomal RNA
Source: RNAcentral
UACGUAGGGUCCGAGCGUUGUCCGGAAUUACUGGGCGUAAAGAGCUCGUAGGUGGUUUGUCGCGUUGUUCGUGAAAACUCACAGCUUAACUGUGGGCGUGCGGGCGAUACGGGCAGACUCGAGUACUGCAGGGGAGACUGGAAUUCCUGGUGUAGCGGUGGAAUGCGCAGAUAUCAGGAGGAACACCGGUGGCGAAGGCGGGUCUCUGGGCAGUAACUGACGCUGAGGAGCGAAAGCGUGGGGAGCGAACAGG